UGGGGAAUAUUGCACAAUGGGCGCAAGCCUGAUGCAGCCAUGCCGCGUGUAUGAAGAAGGCCUUCGGGUUGUAAAGUACUUUCAGCGGGGAGGAAGGGAGUAAAGUUAAUACCUUUGCUCAUUGACGUUACCCGCAGAAGAAGCACCGGCUAACUCCGUGCCAGCAGCCGCGGUAAUACGGAGGGUGCAAGCGUUAAUCGGAAUUACUGGGCGUAAAGCGCACGCAGGCGGUUUGUUAAGUCAGAUGUGAAAUCCCCGGGCUCAACCUGGGAACUGCCUCUGAUACUGGCAAGCUUGAGUCUCGUAGAGGGGGGUAGAAUUCCAGGUGUAGCGGUGAACUGCGUAGAGAUCUGGAGGAAUACCGGUGGCGAAGGCGGCCCCCUGGACAAAGACUGACGCUCAGGUGCGAAAGCGUGGGGAGCAAACAGG
This 429-nucleotide ribosomal RNA is filed under the name Chloroflexota bacterium. Its description in RNAcentral is "Chloroflexi bacterium partial 16S ribosomal RNA". It matches the Rfam family "Bacterial small subunit ribosomal RNA", at positions 355 to 776 of the family's 1533-position model. Lineage: Bacteria; Bacillati; Chloroflexota. The record is from RNAcentral.